GGGGCCGUAGUCUAGCCUGGCUAGGAUGCACCAGGUUAUGCCCUGGGUCCAACGGCCUGGGGAGCAAUCCCCGCACGGUACGCCGGUGAUCCCGGGUUCAAAUCCCGGCGGCCCCA
RNAcentral lists this transfer RNA (116 nucleotides) under Vulcanisaeta distributa DSM 14429. It matches the Rfam family "tRNA". Rfam says of the family: Transfer RNA (tRNA) molecules are approximately 80 nucleotides in length. The record is from Rfam by way of RNAcentral. Lineage: Archaea; Thermoproteati; Thermoproteota; Thermoprotei; Thermoproteales; Thermoproteaceae.